RNAcentral lists this unclassified non-coding RNA (329 nucleotides) under soil metagenome. RNAcentral's name for it is "partial contains 5.8S ribosomal RNA, internal transcribed spacer 2, and large subunit ribosomal RNA". The stretch from base 1 to 120 matches the Rfam family "5.8S ribosomal RNA", at positions 35 to 154 of the family's 154-position model. The record is from RNAcentral.
GAUGAAGAACGCAGCGAAAUGCGAUAAGUAAUGUGAAUUGCAGAAUUCAGUGAAUCAUCGAAUCUUUGAACGCACAUUGCGCCCCCUGGUAUUCCGGGGGGCAUGCCUGUCCGAGCGUCAUUACAACCCUCAAGCUCAGCUUGGUAUUUGGCCCCGCCGACCCGGCGGGCCCUAAAGUCAGUGGCGGUGCCGUCCGGCUCCGAGCGUAGUAAUUCUUCUCGCUCUGGAGGUCCGGUCGUGUGCUCGCCAGCAACCCCCAAUUUUUUUCAGGUUGACCUCGGAUCAGGUAGGGAUACCCGCUGAACUUAAGCAUAUCAAUAAGCGGAGGA